AUUUAUGUAGUAUAAUAAAUAUUUUUAACUUCCAAUUAAAAGAUCUAAACAUUAGCAUAAAUA
Molecule: transfer RNA, 63 nt
Filed under: Simianus niponicus
Lineage: Eukaryota; Metazoa; Arthropoda; Insecta; Coleoptera; Callirhipidae
Description: tRNA-Gly
Source: RNAcentral